ACCCUCGGCCCCCCACGGCGGUUGGUCCCGGCGGGGGAAGGAGAAAGUGAGACUCGGUGUCAUCACCAAUCCGUCGCCAGAAGGGGAGGAAACUGGAAUCCAGCAGCGGCGAGCAGCAGCUGGGCGGUCACAUCUGGAAAUGGAAAGCCGACCUCCCCCUCCUCCUCCACCUCUUCCUCCUCCUCCUCCUCCUCCUCUCACCCAGGAUCACUUCCGAAACCACUUGGCCUUCAGCCCCUGCCUCGGCCAGAGGUUUCAUUUUUAACUGAAUAUUUACGAAAGCUGAAAGCGUGCGAGGGGGGUGGGGUGGAAAUAGCGGCUGCUUCUUUUCCAAGGAUUUAUUUAAUGGGGAUGUGUUCAAGGCAAGACCGAAUUCAGAAGGAUAUCGACGUCGUGAUCCAGAAGUCCAGAGCUGAGGACUGCCUGUUUGCAGGGCACCGGCAACAGUUUUCCGUUUGUGCCUACUCCACCUGCUGUCUUUGUUGGGUCAGCGAACAUCGCCUCCCUCUACCGCUCAAUCAGCAAAAGGGACCGCCCUUGAGGACCUCACCCGCGGCUCACUCCCCUCCCAACUUCGCGGGCAUCGCCUCCGGUCGCCUCUUCCGAAGGCCUAACGAGCAUGUUAGCUGCGAACGGAGGUGAGGAGGCUCCGCUGACUGACCGGUGCCCAUGUCCAGGGCACGCACAAACGCCAUGACUUGGCUUGGCCUCUCUCUUAGUUAUUCACAAGCUCAGCCCGAUAGGCACCUCUGGGGCGGCGACGGCAAAGAGGGUGCGCUUAUUAAGUGCAGCUCCACGGGGACUGGCCUCUGCACGGCUGUGUACACCUGAGCGAGACGCUCAGUCGCUCUCUAAAGCCGCUUCUGCGGAUGACAGACACGGAGAUAAACGUGAGAGGUGGCCCACCACGACUUGCCCUCCUUUGCCCGGGUUUGCCCCUCGCUGCGGAGGCUGUUCUACAUCUGGCCCUUGGAGCAGGCCGGCUGACAGCGUGGUAAAGGAAGAUUUCUGCGGGAGGGCGGCCAGUGCAAAACAAUUCCCUGACCGGGAAUCGAACCCGGGCCGUGGCGCUUUCAGCACCGAAUCCUAGCCACUAGACAACCAUGCAGAUGCGG
Molecule: long non-coding RNA, 1115 nt
Filed under: Homo sapiens (human)
Lineage: Eukaryota; Metazoa; Chordata; Mammalia; Primates; Hominidae
Description: non-protein coding lnc-PPIAL4D-19:2
Source: RNAcentral